GAUUUCCAUGGCGACCGAUGGCGCCGCCUUCCGCAGCCUUAGGGCGGGGUAAGCGGGGGACCUAACUCUCCGUCCAGGCACUCAGUGCCCGACCUGCAAGUGGGGACGGAAUUCUCGUCCAGGACAGUCAGGCUAAGAAAUUCAAAUGCUUUGGACAGACUCACCGACUGCCCGGCUGAGAGAAUCUGUGAGGUCUACCUGCCUAGCAAUUUGCCUUUGCACGGUCCUCCUGUGAGGAGUGAGGACACACAGCUAUCUGGAGUCUGUAUUUGCCAACGCCCAGACAAGUUAAGCAACUUCUGAAAGGUCACACAACAGCUCCCCUGGUACUGAGGACUAGAAAAGAACAUCCAAAGAAGAGAGGCGUUCAACAGCCUUGUGCAACAGGUCUG
Long non-coding RNA from Pan troglodytes (chimpanzee), 392 nucleotides. RefSeq lists it as uncharacterized. The transcript has 4 exons. NCBI's taxonomy places the organism in Eukaryota, Metazoa, Chordata, Mammalia, Primates, Hominidae. The record is from RefSeq and is a predicted model, not a curated record.